This 73-nucleotide transfer RNA is filed under the name Mustela putorius furo (domestic ferret). It matches the Rfam family "tRNA". Rfam says of the family: Transfer RNA (tRNA) molecules are approximately 80 nucleotides in length. Their secondary structure includes four short double-helical elements and three loops (D, anti-codon, and T loops). The record is from Rfam by way of RNAcentral. Lineage: Eukaryota; Metazoa; Chordata; Mammalia; Carnivora; Mustelidae.
ACCUGGCUAGCUCAGUGAGUAGAGCAUGUAACUCUUGAUCUCAGGGCCAUGAGUUCAAGCCCCAUGCUGAGCG